Molecule: ribosomal RNA, 2930 nt
Filed under: Escherichia coli
Lineage: Bacteria; Pseudomonadati; Pseudomonadota; Gammaproteobacteria; Enterobacterales; Enterobacteriaceae
Description: bacterial LSU rRNA
Rfam family: Bacterial large subunit ribosomal RNA
Source: RNAcentral
GGGUUGUGAGGUUAAGCGACUAAGCGUACACGGUGGAUGCCCUGGCAGUCAGAGGCGAUGAAGGACGUGCUAAUCUGCGAUAAGCGUCGGUAAGGUGAUAUGAACCGUUAUAACCGGCGAUUUCCGAAUGGGGAAACCCAGUGUGUUUCGACACACUAUCAUUAACUGAAUCCAUAGGUUAAUGAGGCGAACCGGGGGAACUGAAACAUCUAAGUACCCCGAGGAAAAGAAAUCAACCGAGAUUCCCCCAGUAGCGGCGAGCGAACGGGGAGCAGCCCAGAGCCUGAAUCAGUGUGUGUGUUAGUGGAAGCGUCUGGAAAGGCGCGCGAUACAGGGUGACAGCCCCGUACACAAAAAUGCACAUGCUGUGAGCUCGAUGAGUAGGGCGGGACACGUGGUAUCCUGUCUGAAUAUGGGGGGACCAUCCUCCAAGGCUAAAUACUCCUGACUGACCGAUAGUGAACCAGUACCGUGAGGGAAAGGCGAAAAGAACCCCGGCGAGGGGAGUGAAAAAGAACCUGCAACCGUGUACGUACAAGCAGUGGGAGCACGCUUAGGCGUGUGACUGCGUACCUUUUGUAUAAUGGGUCAGCGACUUAUAUUCUGUAGCAAGGUUAACCGAAUAGGGGAGCCGAAGGGAAACCGAGUCUUAACUGGGCGUUAAGUUGCAGGGUAUAGACCCGAAACCCGGUGAUCUAGCCAUGGGCAGGUUGAAGGUUGGGUAACACUAACUGGAGGACCGAACCGACUAAUGUUGAAAAAUUAGCGGAUGACUUGUGGCUGGGGGUGAAAGGCCAAUCAAACCGGGAGAUAGCUGGUUCUCCCCGAAAGCUAUUUAGGUAGCGCCUCGUGAAUUCAUCUCCGGGGGUAGAGCACUGUUUCGGCAAGGGGGUCAUCCCGACUUACCAACCCGAUGCAAACUGCGAAUACCGGAGAAUGUUAUCACGGGAGACACACGGCGGGUGCUAACGUCCGUCGUGAAGAGGGAAACAACCCAGACCGCCAGCUAAGGUCCCAAAGUCAUGGUUAAGUGGGAAACGAUGUGGGAAGGCCCAGACAGCCAGGAUGUUGGCUUAGAAGCAGCCAUCAUUUAAAGAAAGCGUAAUAGCUCACUGGUCGAGUCGGCCUGCGCGGAAGAUGUAACGGGGCUAAACCAUGCACCGAAGCUGCGGCAGCGACGCUUAUGCGUUGUUGGGUAGGGGAGCGUUCUGUAAGCCUGCGAAGGUGUGCUGUGAGGCAUGCUGGAGGUAUCAGAAGUGCGAAUGCUGACAUAAGUAACGAUAAAGCGGGUGAAAAGCCCGCUCGCCGGAAGACCAAGGGUUCCUGUCCAACGUUAAUCGGGGCAGGGUGAGUCGACCCCUAAGGCGAGGCCGAAAGGCGUAGUCGAUGGGAAACAGGUUAAUAUUCCUGUACUUGGUGUUACUGCGAAGGGGGGACGGAGAAGGCUAUGUUGGCCGGGCGACGGUUGUCCCGGUUUAAGCGUGUAGGCUGGUUUUCCAGGCAAAUCCGGAAAAUCAAGGCUGAGGCGUGAUGACGAGGCACUACGGUGCUGAAGCAACAAAUGCCCUGCUUCCAGGAAAAGCCUCUAAGCAUCAGGUAACAUCAAAUCGUACCCCAAACCGACACAGGUGGUCAGGUAGAGAAUACCAAGGCGCUUGAGAGAACUCGGGUGAAGGAACUAGGCAAAAUGGUGCCGUAACUUCGGGAGAAGGCACGCUGAUAUGUAGGUGAAGCGACUUGCUCGUGGAGCUGAAAUCAGUCGAAGAUACCAGCUGGCUGCAACUGUUUAUUAAAAACACAGCACUGUGCAAACACGAAAGUGGACGUAUACGGUGUGACGCCUGCCCGGUGCCGGAAGGUUAAUUGAUGGGGUUAGCGCAAGCGAAGCUCUUGAUCGAAGCCCCGGUAAACGGCGGCCGUAACUAUAACGGUCCUAAGGUAGCGAAAUUCCUUGUCGGGUAAGUUCCGACCUGCACGAAUGGCGUAAUGAUGGCCAGGCUGUCUCCACCCGAGACUCAGUGAAAUUGAACUCGCUGUGAAGAUGCAGUGUACCCGCGGCAAGACGGAAAGACCCCGUGAACCUUUACUAUAGCUUGACACUGAACAUUGAGCCUUGAUGUGUAGGAUAGGUGGGAGGCUUAGAAGUGUGGACGCCAGUCUGCAUGGAGCCGACCUUGAAAUACCACCCUUUAAUGUUUGAUGUUCUAACGUUGACCCGUAAUCCGGGUUGCGGACAGUGUCUGGUGGGUAGUUUGACUGGGGCGGUCUCCUCCUAAAGAGUAACGGAGGAGCACGAAGGUUGGCUAAUCCUGGUCGGACAUCAGGAGGUUAGUGCAAUGGCAUAAGCCAGCUUGACUGCGAGCGUGACGGCGCGAGCAGGUGCGAAAGCAGGUCAUAGUGAUCCGGUGGUUCUGAAUGGAAGGGCCAUCGCUCAACGGAUAAAAGGUACUCCGGGGAUAACAGGCUGAUACCGCCCAAGAGUUCAUAUCGACGGCGGUGUUUGGCACCUCGAUGUCGGCUCAUCACAUCCUGGGGCUGAAGUAGGUCCCAAGGGUAUGGCUGUUCGCCAUUUAAAGUGGUACGCGAGCUGGGUUUAGAACGUCGUGAGACAGUUCGGUCCCUAUCUGCCGUGGGCGCUGGAGAACUGAGGGGGGCUGCUCCUAGUACGAGAGGACCGGAGUGGACGCAUCACUGGUGUUCGGGUUGUCAUGCCAAUGGCACUGCCCGGUAGCUAAAUGCGGAAGAGAUAAGUGCUGAAAGCAUCUAAGCACGAAACUUGCCCCGAGAUGAGUUCUCCCUGACCCUUUAAGGGUCCUGAAGGAACGUUGAAGACGACGACGUUGAUAGGCCGGGUGUGUAAGCGCAGCGAUGCGUUGAGCUAACCGGUACUAAUGAACCGUGAGGCUUAACCUUACAACGCCGAAGCUGUU